Leptopilina heterotoma is the source of this 1233-nucleotide long non-coding RNA. RefSeq lists it as uncharacterized. Lineage: Eukaryota; Metazoa; Arthropoda; Insecta; Hymenoptera; Figitidae. The record is from RefSeq and is a predicted model, not a curated record. The transcript is spliced from 2 exons.
AAGAAAAAAAAAUAUUCCUGCGGUUUCUUUUGAAACAAUUCAUCACAAUUAUUAUUUCCCUAAUCACGAACUGUAUAUCCCUAUAUAUAUUUAUAUACUCUCAGGUUCGUGACUUCUUCGUCUCUUUGCAUUUCUUAUAUAUAUAAAUGUGUGUGUAUUUUUAUCGGGAGAAAGAGAUGAAGCAAAUAUGGAGGGAUGAAGAUGAGAGCGCGGACUACACUACUCGCGUAUAAAUGACGACACGCAUCAGUCACUCUUUAGAUUGUUCAGAGUCUAGCACGCGUUUACAAAUUAAUUAUAGUAUCAAUUAUAUUAUCAAUUAAGUCUUGUGACCUUGACCUCGAAUCUUCAUCAUCCAAAGAUCACAUUAUUCUCUUGGAUCGAGAGUCUUAGAGAAAGGAGGGAAAAAAAUAAUAAUAAUCAAAGAAGAUGAAUCCAGAUUCAAGCAUCAGUGAAAAAAAAUCCCUAAACAAAUAAAAGAAGAAAUAGUGCGAAAAUAUUUUGUUUCUACAGCAAAACGUUUCGUAGAAGCAAAAAGAAACAAUAAUUGAGUCAAUCAAUGAUCAUUCAUUUGUCGAUUGCUUAUUACUAUUUUUUUUCCUUCUUUCUUUUCUUUUUCUUUCUUAAAAAAAAAAAUAAUCAACGAAGCCUCUGCUCCCGAGAGCACUAUCACCAACCCGACUUGCGUCAAUCGAUUUUUCACGAUGUCUCUAUCUUACGACUCGAGAGUAUCUGGUACAUACAGUUACAAGUCACGAGCGAAUGUUCACACAUUAAGCGCUCUAUUGUUUAUUAGAAAAUAAUGUCAAUUUAAAUAAUUAUUCGAAUAAUUAAAAAAUAAAUAACAAUUCGUUCAAAAAGAAAGUGUCACAUUUUACAAUCCCCCAAAGUAUAAAAAAAACCUGCCUGUUGAAUCAUUCAACUUAAAGUUUUUUUACAAAAAUAAAUUAAAAAGCAGUGCUUGUGAUAUAAUAAAUUAAUUACAGUUAAAAAUUAAUUAAAACAACUAAGUUACAGUGUGAUGAAGAAGGACAACAAUUAAAUUAUUAAACAGUAAUUAUAAUACAAACGGCGAAAAAAAAUUACAAAUAAAGUGAGAAUUAAUUAGUUCGCCAAUCAAAGACAACAAAAGAAAAACAAAUAAUUAAGAUUAAAGAAGAUUUAAAUAGUACAAAUUCAGGACAAUAGUUAAUUAAAAUAAUAAAACUUAGGACAUUAAUUAAAAUAAUAAAA